This 2237-nucleotide long non-coding RNA is filed under the name Homo sapiens (human). Its description in RNAcentral is "non-protein coding lnc-ADGRV1-9:1". The record is from RNAcentral. Lineage: Eukaryota; Metazoa; Chordata; Mammalia; Primates; Hominidae.
UCCUAUGACUACAUAGAGCUUUCUAAUUCUUUUUCAUCACCCCACUCUAUUCCAUUUUAUCAAUGUAUCAUAAUUUAACCUAUUUAUGAACUUUUUUUCCUGAUUAUUUGCAUUUACAACAAUAUUAAAAUGGGUAAUGUUAUACAGAUCUUAUUUUUCAUUAGUGCAUGCAUACCCACAGGGUAAAUUCCCAGUAGUGGUAUUGUUGAUCAAGGACAUAUGCUAUUGUAAUAUUGAUAAAUAUUUCCCUCCUAAGGAGUUCUGCUGAUUUAUAGCCUCAAAAUAAAUAAAAGAGUGUUGGGCUGGGUGCUGGAACUCAUGUCUAUGAUCCCAGCACUUUGGCAGGAGGAUUGCUUCAGCCCAGGAGUUUGAGACCAGACUGGGCAACACAGCAAAUUUUUAAAUAAUUUUAAAAAAUUAGCUAGACAUGGGGGUACAGACCUGGGAUUCCAGUUCUUUGGAAGGCUGAGGUGGGAGGAGCCCUUAAACCCAGGAAUUUGAGGCUUCAAUGAGCUAUGAUCACUGGAGUGCCACUGCACUCCAGCCUGGUUGACAGAGGGCUACCAGAUCUAAAAAAAAAAAAAAAAAAAGGGUCUAUUUGCCCACAGCCUUGCCAAUAGAGUGCAUUGUCAAACUUUUACAUUUCCACAAAUCUGAUAGCUGACAAAUGAUAUCUUAAUUUUCAGUUUUUUAAGUUUAAUUUUAAAAAAUGUUGAAGCUACCUCAAACGUAUCCAAAAGUUGCAAGUAUAAAGAAUAUUUUCCCCAUGGAACUAUUUAAGAGUAAGUUGCCAACAUAAUAUCCUUGUACACCAGAAUAUAUAACCCUAGGUUAUAUAUGUUAUAAACAAGUACAUUCUCCUACAUAUUCAAACUACAGUCUUCCCUUGGUAUCUGUGGGGAUUGGUUCCAGGAUCCCCCCUUCAGAUGCUCAAGUCCCUUAUAUAAAAUAGUGUCAUGUUUGCAUAAAACCUGUGGACAUCCUCCUGUAUACUUUAAAUCAGAGGUGUCCAAUCUUUUGGCUUCCCUGGGCUGCAUUGGAAGAAUUGUCUUGGGCCACACACAAAAUACGCUAACACUAAUGAUAGCUGAUGAGCUAAAAAAUAAUUGCAAAAAAAACUCAUAAUAUUUUAAGAAAGUUUACAAAUUUGUGUUGGGCUGCAUUCAAGGCCAUCCUGGGCUACAUGUGGCCCAUAGGCUGUGAGUUGGACAAGCUUGCUUUAAACCAUCUCUAGAUUACUUAUGAUAUAUAAUACAAUGUAAAUGCUAUGUAAAUAGUUGUUAUACUGUAUUGUUUUUAUAUUAUUUUCAUUUUUUAAUUCAAAUAUUUUUCAAUCCACAGUUGGUUAAUUCUACAGAUGUGGAACUUGUAGAUAUGGAGGGUCAACUGUGAAACCAUCAAUAUCAGGACAUUAGCUUUGAUAUGUUACUGACAUCAAAUGGAGUUAGACUCCAUUCACAGUUUGCCUGUUGUCCCUAAUAUGUCCUUUAUAGCAAAAGUAUCCAGUCCAGAAUCAUGUGUUGUGCUUAGCUUCUGCCCUACCUCUUCAGUCUCCUUUAAUCUGAAACAGUUCCUUCUGCUUUCCUUCAUUUUUAUGACCUUGGUACAUUUAAAGAUGAUAAACCAGACAUUUGUAAAAUGUCCCUUAAUUUGGGUUUACCUGACAUUUCCUUGAACUCAAUUCAGAUUGCACAUCUUUGGCAAAAAUAUGACAGAAAAGAUGCCUUGUUCUUCUUGCAACCUAUCAGGUGGUUCAUGAUUUUGUUUUAUCCCAUUACUGAUGAUGUUCACUCUGAUCAUUUGACUAGGGUGGUGAGUGCCAGGAUUCUCCACUCUAACUUAGCCUUUUUUUCCUUUGUAAUUAUUAAGUGUUUGUGGUAGGGUACUUUGAAGUUAUGUAAUACAUACUUUGGCAUUAAAAAUUCAGUUGAUAAAUUGGUUCUUUUGGUUACAUCACCAUGUACUAAUAGGUUUCUAUAAUAAUCAAUAGUCAUAAUCCAUUCCUAUCAUUGUUUGUCUUGAUGUUCGAACUGUCCCAGAUUUGUUUGGUGGGAGCUCCUUCAAGCUGGCUCCUGCACAGCUUUUGACUUAUCGCUAUCAUUCUGUCAGAACUUCCUUGCUUUCUUGUCUAAAGAGAUAUUCUAGGCUCAUCUUAUACUUGUCCUACUCUGGACAUGGAAUCAGCCAUUUCUUCAAGGAACCUUUUAAUGGAGAAUGAUAUUUAGAAGCCCGAGUGU